This 25-nucleotide non-coding RNA is filed under the name Drosophila melanogaster (fruit fly). The record is from RNAcentral. Lineage: Eukaryota; Metazoa; Arthropoda; Insecta; Diptera; Drosophilidae.
UUACAAAGGAAUUUAUAUGUGCCAU